ACUCCUACGGGAGGCAGCAGUAGGGAAUCUUCCACAAUGGGCGCAAGCCUGAUGGAGCAACACCGCGUGAGUGAAGAAGGGUUUCGGCUCGUAAAGCUCUGUUGUUAAAGAAGAACACGUAUGAGAGUAACUGUUCAUACAUUGACGGUAUUUAACCAGAAAGUCACGGCUAACUACGUGCCAGCAGCCGCGGUAAUACGUAGGUGGCAAGCGUUAUCCGGAUUUAUUGGGCGUAAAGAGAGUGCAGGCGGUUUUCUAAGUCUGAUGUGAAAGCCUUCGGCUUAACCGGAGAAGUGCAUCGGAAACUGGAUAACUUGAGUGCAGAAGAGGUAGUGGAACUCCAUGUGUAGCGGUGGAAUGCGUAGAUAUAUGGAAGAACACCAGUGGCGAAGGCGGCUACCUGGUCUGCAACUGACGCUGAGACUCGAAAGCAUGGGUAGCGAA
Molecule: ribosomal RNA, 444 nt
Filed under: uncultured bacterium
Lineage: Bacteria
Description: bacterial SSU rRNA
Rfam family: Bacterial small subunit ribosomal RNA
Source: RNAcentral